Molecule: ribosomal RNA, 973 nt
Filed under: Klebsiella pneumoniae CHS 12
Lineage: Bacteria; Pseudomonadati; Pseudomonadota; Gammaproteobacteria; Enterobacterales; Enterobacteriaceae
Description: bacterial SSU rRNA
Rfam family: Bacterial small subunit ribosomal RNA
Source: RNAcentral
UGGGCGUAAAGCGCACGCAGGCGGUCUGUCAAGUCGGAUGUGAAAUCCCCGGGCUCAACCUGGGAACUGCAUUCGAAACUGGCAGGCUAGAGUCUUGUAGAGGGGGGUAGAAUUCCAGGUGUAGCGGUGAAAUGCGUAGAGAUCUGGAGGAAUACCGGUGGCGAAGGCGGCCCCCUGGACAAAGACUGACGCUCAGGUGCGAAAGCGUGGGGAGCAAACAGGAUUAGAUACCCUGGUAGUCCACGCCGUAAACGAUGUCGAUUUGGAGGUUGUGCCCUUGAGGCGUGGCUUCCGGAGCUAACGCGUUAAAUCGACCGCCUGGGGAGUACGGCCGCAAGGUUAAAACUCAAAUGAAUUGACGGGGGCCCGCACAAGCGGUGGAGCAUGUGGUUUAAUUCGAUGCAACGCGAAGAACCUUACCUGGUCUUGACAUCCACAGAACUUUCCAGAGAUGGAUUGGUGCCUUCGGGAACUGUGAGACAGGUGCUGCAUGGCUGUCGUCAGCUCGUGUUGUGAAAUGUUGGGUUAAGUCCCGCAACGAGCGCAACCCUUAUCCUUUGUUGCCAGCGGUUCGGCCGGGAACUCAAAGGAGACUGCCAGUGAUAAACUGGAGGAAGGUGGGGAUGACGUCAAGUCAUCAUGGCCCUUACGACCAGGGCUACACACGUGCUACAAUGGCAUAUACAAAGAGAAGCGACCUCGCGAGAGCAAGCGGACCUCAUAAAGUAUGUCGUAGUCCGGAUUGGAGUCUGCAACUCGACUCCAUGAAGUCGGAAUCGCUAGUAAUCGUAGAUCAGAAUGCUACGGUGAAUACGUUCCCGGGCCUUGUACACACCGCCCGUCACACCAUGGGAGUGGGUUGCAAAAGAAGUAGGUAGCUUAACCUUCGGGAGGGCGCUUACCACUUUGUGAUUCAUGACUGGGGUGAAGUCGUAACAAGGUAACCGUAGGGGAACCUGCGGUUGGAUCACCU